Molecule: ribosomal RNA, 106 nt
Filed under: Felis catus (domestic cat)
Lineage: Eukaryota; Metazoa; Chordata; Mammalia; Carnivora; Felidae
Source: RNAcentral
GUCUACGGCCAUACUACCCUGAACGCGCCCGAUCUCAUCUGAUCUCGGAAGCUAAGCAGGGUCGGGCCUGGUUAGUACUUGGAUGGGAGACAGAUGCACGUAGAAU